RNAcentral lists this ribosomal RNA (500 nucleotides) under uncultured bacterium. RNAcentral's name for it is "bacterial SSU rRNA". It matches the Rfam family "Bacterial small subunit ribosomal RNA", at positions 29 to 523 of the family's 1533-position model. The record is from RNAcentral.
ACGAACGCUGGCGGCGCGCCUAACACAUGCAAGUCGAGCGGGAAGCUUUUUAAGGAUUCUUCGGAUGAAUUAAAAAGUGGAGAGCGGCGGACGGGUGAGUAACGCGUGAGAAACCUGCCCUAUACAGGGGGAUAGCCAUUGGAAACGAUGAUUAAUACCCCAUAUGACCACAGUAUCGCAUGAUACAGCGGUGAAAACUCCGGUGGUAUAGGAUGGUCUCGCGUCUGAUUAGCUAGUUGGUGGGGUAACGGCCUACCAAGGCGACGAUCAGUAGCCGGCCUGAGAGGGUGACCGGCCACACUGGAACUGAGACACGGCCCAGACUCCUACGGGAGGCAGCAGUGGGGAAUAUUGCACAAUGGGCGAAAGCCUGAUGCAGCGACGCCGCGUGAGGGAUGACGGCCUUCGGGUUGUAAACCGUCUUUUCAGCAGGGACGAAGCGCGAGUGACGGUACCUGCAGAAGAAGCACCGGCUAACUACGUGCCAGCCGCCGCGGUAA